GUGAUUGUAGCUCAGCUGGUUAGAGCGCUGGAUUGUGGUUCCAGAGGUCGCCGGUUCGAAACCGGUCUUUCACCCUA
RNAcentral lists this transfer RNA (77 nucleotides) under Labilibacter sediminis. RNAcentral's name for it is "Labilibacter sp. CG51 tRNA-His". It matches the Rfam family "tRNA". From Rfam's summary of the family: Transfer RNA (tRNA) molecules are approximately 80 nucleotides in length. Their secondary structure includes four short double-helical elements and three loops (D, anti-codon, and T loops). The record is from RNAcentral. Lineage: Bacteria; Pseudomonadati; Bacteroidota; Bacteroidia; Marinilabiliales; Marinilabiliaceae.